GUCGAACGCUGGCGGCGUGCUUAACACAUGCAAGUCGAACGGAAAGGCCCUGCUUUUGUGGGGUGCUCGAGUGGCGAACGGGUGAGUAACACGUGAGUAACCUGCCCUUGACUUUGGGAUAACUUCAGGAAACUGGGGCUAAUACCGGAUAGGAGCUCCUGCUGCAUGGUGGGGGUUGGAAAGUUUCGGCGGUUGGGGAUGGACUCGCGGCUUAUCAGCUUGUUGGUGGGGUAGUGGCUUACCAAGGCUUUGACGGGUAGCCGGCCUGAGAGGGUGACCGGCCACAUUGGGACUGAGAUACGGCCCAGACUCCUACGGGAGGCAGCAGUGGGGAAUAUUGCUCAAUGGGCGGAAGCCUGAUGCAGCAACGCCGCGUGCGGGAUGACGGCCUUCGGGUUGUAAACCGCUUUCGCCUGUGACGAAGCGUGAGUGACGGUAAUGGGUAAAGAAGCACCGGCUAACUACGUG
This 468-nucleotide ribosomal RNA is filed under the name uncultured bacterium. RNAcentral's name for it is "partial 16S ribosomal RNA". It matches the Rfam family "Bacterial small subunit ribosomal RNA", at positions 28 to 507 of the family's 1533-position model. The record is from RNAcentral.